AUUGAACGCUGGCGGCAUGCCUUACACAUGCAAGUCGAACGGCAGCGCGGACUUCGGUCUGGCGGCGAGUGGCGAACGGGUGAGUAAUACAUCGGAACGUACCCUGUUGUGGGGGAUAACUAGUCGAAAGAUUAGCUAAUACCGCAUACGACCUGAGGGUGAAAGUGGGGGACCGGAAACGGCCUCAUGCAGCAGGAGCGGCCGAUGUCUGAUUAGCUAGUUGGUGGGGUAAAGGCCCACCAAGGCGACGAUCAGUAGCUGGUCUGAGAGGACGAUCAGCCACACUGGGACUGAGACACGGCCCAGACUCCUACGGGAGGCAGCAGUGGGGAAUUUUGGACAAUGGGGGCAACCCUGAUCCAGCAAUGCCGCGUGUGUGAAGAAGGCCUUCGGGUUGUAAAGCACUUUUGUCCGGAAAGAAAUCGCGCUGGUUAAUACCUGGCGUGGAUGACGGUACCGGAAGAAUAAGCACCGGCUAACUAUGUG
This 486-nucleotide ribosomal RNA is filed under the name uncultured bacterium. Its description in RNAcentral is "partial 16S ribosomal RNA". It matches the Rfam family "Bacterial small subunit ribosomal RNA", at positions 30 to 507 of the family's 1533-position model. The record is from RNAcentral.